RNAcentral lists this ribosomal RNA (253 nucleotides) under uncultured bacterium. Its description in RNAcentral is "partial 16S ribosomal RNA". It matches the Rfam family "Bacterial small subunit ribosomal RNA", at positions 524 to 776 of the family's 1533-position model. The record is from RNAcentral.
GACAGAGGGUGCUAGCGUUGUUCGGAAUUACUGGGCGUAAAGGGCGCGUAGGCGGUCUGUUAAGUUCGGUGUGAAAUCCCCUGGCUCAGCUGGGGAACUGCGCUGGAAACUGGCAGACUCGAGUACCGGAGAGGAGAGUGGAAUUCCUGGUGUAGCGGUGAAAUGCGUAGAUAUCAGGAGGAACACCGGUGGCGAAGGCGGUCUGCUGGGCAGUUUCUGACACUGAUGCGCGACAGCGUGGGGAGCAAACAGG